GUGCCAGCAGCCGCGGUAAUUCCAGCUCCAAUAGCGUAUAUUAAAGUUGUUGCAGUUAAAAAGCUCGUAGUUGGAUCUGAGGAGUAGAGUAGACGGUGCGCCUUUCAGGUUCUACUGUUUGCUCAUCCUACCUAGCCGGUGACCGUCUCGGUGCUCUUAACUGAGCGCCUUGAUAGCCCGACAUGUUUACUUUGAACAAAUUAGAGUGCUCAACGCAGGCUUCAGGCUUGUAUAUUAGUGCAUGGAAUAAUGGAAUAGGACUUUAGUUCUAUUUUGUUGGUUUACGGAACCUAAGUAAUGAUUAAAAGGGACAGGCGGGGGCAUUCGUAUUGUGCCGGGAGAGGUGAAAUUCGAAGAUCGGCGCAAGACGACCUACUGCGAAAGCAUUUGCCAAGUAUGUUUUCGUUAAUCAAGAACGAAAGUCAGAGGUUCGAAGACGAUUAGAUACCGUCCUAGUUCUGACCAUAAACGAUACCACCUGAUCAUCCGAGGUUGAUUGCUUGUUCGAUCCUUCGGGCGAUCUCCGGGAAACCAAAGUUUUUUGGUUCCGGGGGAAGUAUGGUUGCAAAUCCGAAACUUAAAGGAAUUGACGGAAGGGCACCACCAGGAGUGGAGCCUGCGGCUUAAUUUGACUCAACACGGGAAAGCUCACCCGGUCCGGACACUGUUAGGAUUGACAGAUUGAUAGCUCUUUCUUGAUUCAGUGGGUGGUGGUGCAUGGCCGUUCUUAGUUGGUGGAGCGAUUUGUCUGGUUAAUUCCGAUAACGAACGAGACUCUAGCCUGCUAAAUAGUACACUCAUCACAAGUGUGGGUGCUUGCUUCUUAGAGGGACAGGCGGCGCAUAGUCGCACGAGAUUGAGCAAUAACAGGUCUGUGAUGCCCUUAGAUGUCCGGGGCCGCACGCGCGCUACAAUGACAAGGUCAACUAGUGUUUCCUGGCCCGAAAGGGUUGGGUAACCUAAUAAAUUCUUGUCAUGACAGGGAUUGGGUUUUGAAAUUGUCGCCCAUGAACGAGGAAUUCCCAGUAAGUGCAAGUCAUAAACUUGCGCUGAUUACGUCCCUGCCCUUUGCACACACCGCCCGUC
Molecule: ribosomal RNA, 1086 nt
Filed under: uncultured eukaryote
Lineage: Eukaryota
Description: SSU rRNA
Rfam family: Eukaryotic small subunit ribosomal RNA
Source: RNAcentral